UACAGGGGGUGCAAACGUUGCCCGGAAUUAUUGGGCGUAAAGCGCGCGUAGGCGGCCACUUAAGUCGGAUGUGAAAGCCCCUGGCUCAACUGGGGAAGUGCACCCGAAACUGAAUGGCUUGAAUGCAAAAGAGGGUCGCGGAAUUCCCGGUGUAGAGGUGAAAUUCGUAGAUAUCGGGAGGAACACCGGUGGCGAAGGCGGCGACCUGGGUUGACAUUGACGCUGAGGCGCGAAAGCGUGGGGAGCAAACAGG
Molecule: ribosomal RNA, 253 nt
Filed under: uncultured bacterium
Lineage: Bacteria
Description: partial 16S ribosomal RNA
Rfam family: Bacterial small subunit ribosomal RNA
Source: RNAcentral